RNAcentral lists this ribosomal RNA (1094 nucleotides) under Gaidropsarus argentatus (Arctic rockling). RNAcentral describes it as "partial 16S ribosomal RNA". It matches the Rfam family "Bacterial large subunit ribosomal RNA", at positions 792 to 2519 of the family's 2925-position model. The record is from RNAcentral. Lineage: Eukaryota; Metazoa; Chordata; Actinopteri; Gadiformes; Gaidropsaridae.
CAAAAGAGUGGGAAGAGCUUCAAGUAGAGGUGAAAAACCUACCGAGCACAGUUAUAGCUGGUUGCCUGAGAAAUGAAUAGAAGUUCAGCCCUUUAAAAUUUCCCGUCCCACAUGCCUGUGCUAAAAUUGGUCAAGGAAAUUAAAGGAGUUAAUCAAAAGGGGUACAGCCCUUUUGAUAAAAGAAACAACUUUUAUAGGUGACCCAGGAUCAUAUUACCCAAGGGUUUCAAAUUAAGUGGGCCUAAAAGCAGCCAUCUUAAUAGAAAGCGUUAAAGCUCAAAUUAAAUAUUACCCUUAUAUACUGAUAACUUAUCCUCCCCCCUACCCUCUACCAGGCCCUCUUAUGCUUUCAUAAGAAUAAUUAUGCUAAAAUGAGUAAUAAGAAGAAUACUGUUCUUCUCCCAGCAUGUGUGUAAGUCGGGAUGGACCCCCCACCGACCAUUAACCGCUUCCAAAUCCAGAGGAAAAUAAGAAAUAAAAACAAGAAAAACACUUAAUUUUAAUAUCGUUAACCCUACACAGGUGUGCCUAAAGGAAAGAUUAAAAGAAAGGGAAGGAACUCGGCAAACAUAAGCCUCGCCUGUUUACCAAAAACACCGCCUCUUGUUUUAAAAAAUAUAAGAGGUCCCGCCUGCCCUGUGACUAUAAGUUUAACGGCCGCGGUAUUUUAACCGUGCGAAGGUAGCGUAAUCACUUGUCUUUUAAAUGAAGACCUGUAUGAAUGGCAUCACGAGGGCUUAACUGUCUCCCCCCUCCAAUCAAUGAAAUUGAUCUCCCCGUGCAGAAGCGGGGAUAAGUACAUAAGACGAGAAGACCCUGUGGAGCUUUAGACCUAAAAUAAUUCACGUUUUAAUACCCUGUUAUACCAGUAAAAACUUAGUUUUACUUAUUGAAGUGUCUUUGGUUGGGGCGACCACGGGGAAAAAUAUAACCCCCAUGAAGACCGGGGAUACUAUCCCUAAUACUCAGAGCUUUCUAUUCCAAGUCCAGAAAUUCUGACUUUCCUGAUCCGGUAUUUAACCGAUCAACGGACCGAGUUACCCCAGGGAUAACAGCGCAAUCCCCUCCCAGAGCCCAUAUCGACGAGGGGGUUU